GACAGAGGGUGCAAACGUUGUUCGGAAUUACUGGGCGUAACGCGCGCGUAGGCGGCUUUGCAAGUCGGGUGUGAAAUCCCCAGGCUUAACCUGGGAACUGCAUUCGAGACUGCAUUGCUAGAGUAUGGGAGAGGGAAGUGGAAUUUCCGGUGUAGCGGUGAAAUGCGUAGAUAUCGGAAGGAACAUCAGUGGCGAAAGCGACUUCCUGGACCAAUACUGACGCUCAUGUGCGAAAGCGUGGGGAGCAAACAGG
This 253-nucleotide ribosomal RNA is filed under the name uncultured bacterium. RNAcentral's name for it is "partial 16S ribosomal RNA". It matches the Rfam family "Bacterial small subunit ribosomal RNA", at positions 524 to 776 of the family's 1533-position model. The record is from RNAcentral.